Molecule: ribosomal RNA, 465 nt
Filed under: uncultured Treponema sp.
Lineage: Bacteria; Pseudomonadati; Spirochaetota; Spirochaetia; Treponematales; Treponemataceae
Description: bacterial SSU rRNA
Rfam family: Bacterial small subunit ribosomal RNA
Source: RNAcentral
CCUACGGGAGGCUGCAGCUAAGAAUAUUCCGCAAUGGGGGGAACCCUGACGGAGCGACGCCGCGUGGACGAUGAAGGCCGGAAGGUUGUAAAGUCCUUUUGUCCGCGAGGAAUAAUAUUGGGAGGAAAUACCUGAUAGGUGACGGUAGCGGAUGAAUAAGCACCGGCUAAUUACGUGCCAGCAGCCGCGGUAACACGUAAGGUGCGAGCGUUGUUCGGAAUUAUUGGGCGUAAAGGGCAUGCAGGCGGUCGUGCAAGCCCGGCGUGAAAUGGCGGGGCUCAACCCCGUCACUGCGCUGGGAACUGUGUGGCUAGGGUCGCCGAGGGGCAGCCGGAAUUCCAGGUGUAGGGGUGAAAUCUGUAGAUAUCUGGAAGAACACCGAUGGCGAAGGCAGGCUGCCAGCGGAUGACCGACGCUGAGGUGCGAAGGCGCGGGGAGCGAACAGGAUUAGAUACCCCAGUAGUC